Long non-coding RNA from Gasterosteus aculeatus aculeatus (three-spined stickleback), 578 nucleotides. RefSeq lists it as uncharacterized. Lineage: Eukaryota; Metazoa; Chordata; Actinopteri; Perciformes; Gasterosteidae. The record is from RefSeq and is a predicted model, not a curated record.
GACCCAGCACACAGAUAUUCCACAGAGGACAAUCAGUAGAAGUAAUUUAAUGCGUGCACGACUCAACAGGAGGGGGAUAGCCAAGGCUGAGCCCGGGGUUUCGGGGAAGGGGGCGCGAGCUCCACAGGGGAAUCCCGUUGACCCUAGUGGGGACGCCGGUGCGUCGCAAGGCGCAUGGCAGGCUGGGCGGGACGGCCGGGAGGAGCGCUCUCUCACCACUCUCACCUGUGGCUAAUCGGCAAUCUGGCACCAGUUAAAGCCUGCUGUCUCCUGGGCCUCCGUGUCGGAUCGUUGUCUCCUGUCGACGCAACACACCAGGACACGCCAGCACGUUUGUUCCCUGCACGGCCUUCCACCGUACCUGCCCGCAGACCACCCCCGAGCCUCUCCUCAGGAGAAAUAAAUCCUUUCUUUUUGACCUCAAAACUGUGUCUCCGGUUUACUUUUGGAUCCAGUCCUCAUUAACCCUAAUAGAUUGAAAGACAGCCUCUCCUUUGUCAAAAACAAGGGAACCGACACCACUAGCUUCUGUAGAUGGGGGUUCUAUCUGAUGGUGGUUGCCCCUGCAGUGGUCCUGC